This 267-nucleotide ribosomal RNA is filed under the name uncultured bacterium. Its description in RNAcentral is "partial 16S ribosomal RNA". It matches the Rfam family "Bacterial small subunit ribosomal RNA", at positions 524 to 796 of the family's 1533-position model. The record is from RNAcentral.
UACAGAGGGCUCAAGCGUUAAUCGGAAUCACUGGGCUUAAAGGGUCCGCAGGCGGAUUGGAAAGUAUCUUGUGAAAUACCACGGCUCAACCGUGGAACUGCUCGGUAAACUUCCAAUCUUGAACACGGUAGGGGCCAUCGGAACUCUAGGUGGAGCGGUGAAAUGCGUAGAUAUCUAGAGGAACGCCAGAGGCGAAGGCGGAUGGCUGGGCCGUUGUUGACGCUCAGGGACGAAAGCAUGGGUAGCAACGGAUAGAUACCCCGGUUC